Molecule: long non-coding RNA, 549 nt
Organism: Stylophora pistillata
Lineage: Eukaryota; Metazoa; Cnidaria; Anthozoa; Scleractinia; Pocilloporidae
Source: RefSeq, a predicted model, not a curated record
CCUGCCUCAUGAAUUGUACUCUUCCGAGGAACGAACGGGGAUCUUAAGCUCAUCUUCUGACCAACAGACACGAAAACGUAUUCAGAAAGAAUCAGACCAUGCUGAAAUCGAUAGUUUUCGUCGUCUUUAUUUUGGCUUUUGGAAGUCUAGGUGAAGCUCUCGAGUGCCCUACUUGUUUCAGUCGUGAAGAUGGAAAACAUUGCAACGAAAUAGCCACAUUAAAGACGUGUACAGAUCCCAACGCUGUUUGCGCUUUGUACUAUUCUGAGUCCAGUCUGAAGGGCGGUGUUUAUAUGAGAUAUUGUAGCUCUUUAGACCGAGUCUUAACCUUACAGGCCCUAUGCAAAAAUCAGCCGGCAGAAAUUGAGGGGCUGGGCUCAGUAACGUGUCGUGCCGAGUGUGAAGGAUGUUCCUUCACUUCAGUGGUAUGAAGCAGCAGGUGUUUCUUUGUACACAUGCUUUUCCUUUUACAAGCUCGUUGUAGAACUGUAGUAAACGCUUAAAGCGCAGCUUGUGUUAUGUUGAAAUAAAGAUAUAAUUGGUCAGUAA